UACGUAGGUGGCGAGCGUUGUCCGGAAUCACUGGGCGUAAAGGGCGCGUAGGCGGUUAUUCAAGUCGCAUGUGAAAUACCAGGGCUCAACUCUGGGGGGUCAUGCGAAACUGGACAACUUGAGUGCAGUAGAGGGAAGCGGAAUUCCUGGUGUAGCGGUAAAAUGCGUAGAGAUCAGGAGGAACACCGGUGGCGAAGGCGGCUUCCUGGGCUGUAACUGACGCUGAUGCGCGAAAGCGUGGGGAG
Molecule: ribosomal RNA, 245 nt
Filed under: uncultured Bacillota bacterium
Lineage: Bacteria; Bacillati; Bacillota
Description: uncultured Firmicutes bacterium partial 16S ribosomal RNA
Rfam family: Bacterial small subunit ribosomal RNA
Source: RNAcentral